UAAGUGGUUCAGCGCGGGGGUGAGACGGCAUCGCACGCCGUUUAUUUCGUGCGCCCACUCUCGCACGCUGCACACUCAAGCAACCGCGCUGCGACUUUCACCUACCCUCAAUUCAGGUGCCGUCGCCGCCGCCGCCGCCUGCACCACCUUAUUUGCUCCCGCGACCCGAUGGCGCUUCCCCGGUCUAUCCCUACGCCGCUGCUGCUUCCUCCGUGUCCCUCUAGUCACCGUCGCCCCUAGCGCGCAUCAUUCCUCCGACGAACAACGCCCGGCCGCCCACUGCCGCUCGACGCCCACAAGGUGUUCGACAAAACGCUUGCAAGAAGUGGAGAUCAUUGACUAAGGAUGGGGACCUUGAGGCGUUCGACGAUAUGCUAUCCAAAAUGAAAUCUACUGCUUCUUCUCUACUGCGACGGUCCAGGAGGACGGUUUCUUAGUGUUUCAAUUGCUCGUUUGGCUGGCCUGCAUGCCAUGAUAGGCUGGAUGCCUUGUACCCAUACUUUCUAGUCAUACUGUGUUAAACUUAUAUGGUUUCUUUCUGGUGGUUGUGACUCUGCCUGGUGGCUUUAUCUAUAAAGUCGGGCUCUCGCCUUUUAUCUAAAAAAAAGUAUGAACUUUUCACAAA
Triticum aestivum (bread wheat) is the source of this 625-nucleotide long non-coding RNA. RefSeq lists it as uncharacterized. The record is from RefSeq and is a predicted model, not a curated record. Lineage: Eukaryota; Viridiplantae; Streptophyta; Magnoliopsida; Poales; Poaceae. The transcript has 2 exons.